Molecule: non-coding RNA, 541 nt
Filed under: Pongo abelii (Sumatran orangutan)
Lineage: Eukaryota; Metazoa; Chordata; Mammalia; Primates; Hominidae
Source: RNAcentral
GCAGGGCAGACAAUGACGGUAGGGUCUGCAGCAAAGACACAGGCUCCUUGAAGACGCCCGUGGUGAGAUCAGCCCCAGGUCGCCGCUUCCACAGAUGGGCCUUUUCCUAAAGCGGAUGAAGGGAGUCAAAUAGGCCAGCUUCAUGUCUUGAUCUGCCUUUGCUGUCAUUCAUGCAUCUGUCCUCAUGAAGGCUUAAUCUACCAUGUUUAUCAGAAGUCUCAGCCUAAAUUCAUUCAAUUUUUACCUAGAGAUGAGGAAUGUGUUAAAUCACUCUACUCCACAAGGAACCAAACCAAACAGCAUCAGCACCAGGCUGAGUCGCGGAAAGGAUCUGUCAGGCCACUCCACUGGCAUCGACUCGGCUCAGGAGCUACGUUCAAAGGAGGGACCCAAGGAUUGAGAAGAACAAUGGACUUUUUGAUGUGUGGUGCAACAAACGCAUAGCUGAGGGCUGUAAAUCGGGACGGAUCACUAGGUCUGCCCACCAGCCGUGAGGGAAGUGGGGAGAAGCUGUCACCCCAACUUGAGUUCAAGAAGACUC